This 255-nucleotide long non-coding RNA is filed under the name Prunus persica (peach). RNAcentral's name for it is "long non-coding RNA (PPER_LNC008027)". The record is from RNAcentral. Lineage: Eukaryota; Viridiplantae; Streptophyta; Magnoliopsida; Rosales; Rosaceae.
AAGCCUAGCACAAGCAUUCGUCAAGCUGUUGGAAAAUCUAUUCAAGCCACUUAUCCAUUCAUCCCCAUCUCUCUUUCUCUCUCUCUCUCUCUCUCUCUCUCUCUCUCUCUCUCUCUCUCUCUCUCUCUCUCUCUCUCUCUCAAAAAGCUCCAUCCCAUAUCUGAAACACCUAACCUCUCAAGCUAAGUUGAAAUUACAGUCAUUACCUUUGUGGUAAGAAAACGCAGACAUCGCAAGCUCUUCGUCUAACUGCCG